This 504-nucleotide ribosomal RNA is filed under the name uncultured bacterium. RNAcentral describes it as "partial 16S ribosomal RNA". It matches the Rfam family "Bacterial small subunit ribosomal RNA", at positions 28 to 507 of the family's 1533-position model. The record is from RNAcentral.
GACGAACGCUGGCGGCGUGCUUAACACAUGCAAGUCGAACGGUGAAGCGCUUGCCUUUUUGGUGGGUGUGGAUGAGUGGCGAACGGGUGAGUAACACGUGAGUAACCUGCCCUCUUCUUCUGGAUAACCUCAUGAAAGUGGGGCUAAUACGGGGUAUUCCGGGUCUGUCGCAUGGCGGGUUUGGGAAAGAUUGCGCCUUUGGGUGUUUUCGGUGGGGGAUGGGCUCGCGGCCUAUCAGCUUGUUGGUGGGGUGAUGGCCUACCAAGGCGGUGACGGGUAGCCGGCCUGAGAGGGUGGACGGCCACACUGGGACUGAGACACGGCCCAGACUCCUGCGGGAGGCAGCAGUGGGGAAUAUUGCACAAUGGGCGCAAGCCUGAUGCAGCGACGCCGCGUGAGGGAUGGAGGCCGUCGGGUUGUGAACCUCUUUCGCCAGUGAAGCAGGCCUGCUCCCGUGUGGGUGGGUUGACGGUAGCUGGAUAAGAAGCGCCGGCUAACUACGUG